UACGUAGGGUGCGAGCGUUGUCCGGAAUUAUUGGGCGUAAAGGGCUCGUAGGCGGUUUGUCGCGUCGGGAGUGAAAACACUGGGCUUAACUCAGUGCUUGCUUCCGAUACGGGCAGACUAGAGGUAUGCAGGGGAGAACGGAAUUCCUGGUGUAGCGGUGAAAUGCGCAGAUAUCAGGAGGAACACCGGUGGCGAGGGCGGUUCUCUGGGCAUUACCUGACGCUGAGGAGCGAAAGUGUGGGGAGCGAACAGG
This 253-nucleotide ribosomal RNA is filed under the name uncultured bacterium. RNAcentral describes it as "partial 16S ribosomal RNA". It matches the Rfam family "Bacterial small subunit ribosomal RNA", at positions 524 to 776 of the family's 1533-position model. The record is from RNAcentral.